RNAcentral lists this small RNA (103 nucleotides) under Epilithonimonas xixisoli. Its description in RNAcentral is "Chryseobacterium xixisoli Flavo-1 RNA". It matches the Rfam family "Flavo-1 RNA". Lineage: Bacteria; Pseudomonadati; Bacteroidota; Flavobacteriia; Flavobacteriales; Weeksellaceae. The record is from RNAcentral.
CCAUAGCCCCGAUUGCAGUGGAAAUCCUUUUUUGCGUAAACUUCGAGUUCAACUUAAUGCCAAUUGUCUGCAAAAAAGAUUGCAACGGAAAGCGGGAAAUAGC